ACACACCGCCCGUCACACCAUGGAAGUCGGUAAUGCCCGAAGUCAGUAGCCUAACCGCAAGGAGGGCGCUGCCGAAGGCAGGAUUGAUGACUGGGGUGAAGUCGUAACAAGGUAUC
RNAcentral lists this ribosomal RNA (116 nucleotides) under uncultured bacterium. RNAcentral's name for it is "partial 16S ribosomal RNA". It matches the Rfam family "Bacterial small subunit ribosomal RNA", at positions 1385 to 1500 of the family's 1533-position model. The record is from RNAcentral.